CAAAGUUUCAAAGAACAAGAACCCUCUGCUCUUAAUCCCCGUAGUCCUGGGCUGUGGCUGUCAGGUUCGAGUGCGCCUCCUCUGCAGUAAAUAAGAAGGAAUGAAGGUCCCUCAGAGGCAAGCAACAUUUGUUGAGCAGUUGUCUGGCACCUGCAUUAUCCCAUUAAAAUUCACAACCAGGGGCACCCACGAAUUGGGAGCUGGGUGCUCACGGACCCUCCCUGGGAAGCCAACUGUGUGCGCCUCAGUCUAGACACGCCCCUUUGGGGCGUCUACUCCG
This is a long non-coding RNA of Manis pentadactyla (Chinese pangolin), 280 nucleotides long. RefSeq lists it as uncharacterized. Lineage: Eukaryota; Metazoa; Chordata; Mammalia; Pholidota; Manidae. The transcript is spliced from 3 exons. The record is from RefSeq and is a predicted model, not a curated record.